This 476-nucleotide ribosomal RNA is filed under the name uncultured anaerobic ammonium-oxidizing bacterium. RNAcentral's name for it is "bacterial SSU rRNA". It matches the Rfam family "Bacterial small subunit ribosomal RNA", at positions 365 to 832 of the family's 1533-position model. The record is from RNAcentral.
UUCGCAAUGCCCGAAAGGGUGACGAUGCGACGCCGCGUGAGCGAAGAAGGCCCUAGGGUUGUAAAGCUCUGUCGAGGGUUAUGAAAUAUAGAUGGGUUAAUACCCCAUUUAUUUGACAAAAGCCCAAAAGGAAGCCACGGCUAACUCUGUGCCAGCAGCCGCGGUAAUACAGAGGUGGCAAGCGUUGUUCGGAAUUAUUGGGCGUAAAGAGCACGUAGGUGGGUUUGCAAGUCAGAUGUGAAAGCCUCCUGUUCAACGGGAGAAUUGCAUCUGAAACUGCAGAUCUUGAGUGUAGGAGGGGAGAAUGGAACUUCUGGUGGAGCGGUGAAAUGCGUAGAUAUCAGAAGGAACGCCGGCGGCGAAAGCGAUUCUCUGGCCUAUUACUGACGCUCAGGUGCGAAAGCUAGGGGAGCAAACGGGAUUAGAUACCCCGGUAGUCCUAGCCGUAAACGAUGGGCACUAAGUAGAGGGGUUUU